GGCUGGUUAGCUCAGUUGGUCAAAGUGUCGUGGCUAAUAACGUGAAAGUCUGGUUCGAUGCCCGCACUGCCA
Non-coding RNA from Dallia pectoralis (Alaska blackfish), 72 nucleotides. NCBI's taxonomy places the organism in Eukaryota, Metazoa, Chordata, Actinopteri, Esociformes, Umbridae. The record is from the annotation of a GenBank genome assembly.